Molecule: ribosomal RNA, 391 nt
Filed under: uncultured bacterium
Lineage: Bacteria
Description: partial 16S ribosomal RNA
Rfam family: Bacterial small subunit ribosomal RNA
Source: RNAcentral
AUACGGAGGAUCCGAGCGUUAUCCGGAUUUAUUGGGUUUAAAGGGUGCGCAGGCGGCCAUUUAAGUCAGCGGUUAAAUCGUGGGGCUCAACCCCAUUCUGCCGUUGAUACUGGGUGGCUUGAUUGCGGUCGAGGUUGGCGGAAUUCGUUGUGGAGCGGCGAAAUGCAUUGAUAUGACGAAGAACACCGAUUGCGUAGGCAGCUGACCAGACCGCAAAUGACGCUCAUGCACGAAAGUGCGGGGAUCGAACAGGAUUAGAUACCCUGGUAGUCCGCACAGUAAACGAUGAAUACUUGUUUUCGGCGAUAUAAUGUCGGAGGCAAAGCGAAAGCGAUAAGUAUUCCACCUGGGGAGUACGCCGGCAACGGUGAAACUCAAAUGAUUGACGGGG